AGUGGUAUCACACAUGGUAGGACACACUGAGGAAAUCUUCAUAUUUGCCUGCAAAACUUGUCAUUGGGACAGUCUGUUUGGAAUAAUUACUCCUUGUUAUUAUGCAAAUGUUUUUAUCAAGGACAGUUCCUUUAAAGCUUUGUUAUUUUAAAUUGUCAGCUGACAUUUUGGGUAAGACAAAUUUUCAUUCUUGUCUCCAGAACUAAGGUAAAUUGUGAAGCAAAAGAGUCUCAUAAUUGUACCAGAAGGAGUCCUGAUAUUCCAAAACUUGUAACAGUGUAUUUGCUGAUUGCUUAGCAAAAUAAAUGCCUGAACUGUGCUCCUGUCUCUUUCCCAGAACUGGGCAUAUACAUGUCUCCUGCAACACCAUGACUUAUAAUGGAAUUCUGUGAAGGAUUGACCUGAAGUUUUAUUCUUGAGUAGUGAAGACAAACUGUUGAGAGUUUCAAGAUUGGGAGUUUCAAGAUUUACUUCUAAUACCUAACAUGCCUGAAGCUUCUCUGCAUAUGUCAUGUGCUGCUGGCAGAGCUGAGAGCUGGGGGAAGAGUGAUUUUACAGCACAGUGACAUUAUCCCAGACAUUCUCCAUUCUCCUGGAACUGUGUGUUAGGAAAAAUAGGUGGGCGACACUGCAGUGCAGUUUCCCUUCCUUGCUGAGGAUUAUGCUGGCCUGUUCGAAACAUUGGAACUGGAUGAUGCUUCAGUCAUGCCAUGGUGUGAGAACACUCACUGUACUCAGACCAAAUCAUCCUGCCCUGAGCUGCCCUUUUCUCACUGUGAUUACCAGGAGGUUAGCCCAACUGAACUGGAGUUAUACAAUCUCCAAAGCUAUUGAAAUGACCUCAGUAACCUCAAAGAGAAGAUGAUUUUAGGUGGAUCACCUAAGUGGAGUAAGAGUGAUUUUCUUGCUUUUAAUGAAGUAAAAUCAUACUGCUCAGAGUGACUCACUAACACCAUUUUUCAAUUGUUACUUCAUGGAUUCAGGUUUUAGGUGAUUACUUUGCUCUAUCAUAAGGCACACAAUGCAGUGUCAUAUGAACAGACUUAACGGGCUGCACAGUGUUUAUUGAAAAAAACUGUGCACUAAAAGGAGUGAAAAGAAAGAUACUACAGUACUAUGAUUGAUAUUAUAAUACUGAUUAGUAUUAUAUACUAUUAAGAUCAAAGAGAGAAAAUCAGUAAUAAAGAUGGGAAAUACCUGAUAUGUUACCUAAUAUUGUCUUUCUGUUUCAGUGACUACAAAAUUAGUCUCUGCUGUCACGAAAGCAGAAGCACCUUAGUUAAGAAUUUGAGAUGAUGCAAAAAGGAAACAAUUCAGUUAUUUUCACUGGUCGCUUGGUGAGAAACCCAUGCAACUGACAAGAGUUGUUCUUUUAAAAUGCCAUGUUCUGGGAAAUGUAAUGGAACUUUGCCUAUGGAAUCAGUCUGAGCUACGAGAAGUACAGCAGAAUCCAAAAACUGGGAGGGAGAACUGAACAGGAAGAGUAAGGUCUAGAAGAAGCUAGUAUUCCUGAAAAUUACGUGAGCAGUUCUACCAAAUGCCAAGUAGUCAUGUCUAAGAUUUUUGUGACGGUACAAAAAGAUCCAAUCAAGAGGUAGAAAAUAUUUUUUAAACAGUUAACAAUUUGUGUAUUGUUGGACAAUGACAAGAGUCAUUGGGUUUUAAGCAAGAUUAAAUUAUUUUGUACACAAAACAGUAAAACUCAUUUAAAAAUCAACUGUACAAAAGAUUAUGAAACAGAUAUUCAACCACAAUGAAAAAUUUAUGACUGAAAAUGAGGGGAGCACUAGACAGUUUCCAUUUGUAUCAGUUCUUUGCUUGCCACAGAAGCUGACUAGAAAAUAGCUCUCACAGAUUUUAGGUCCAGUUCAGCAUAGCAAACUGUCUUUAAAAUAACAACACAAACCCCCAAAUCCUUCCUCUUCAGAAUUCAGCACAUUAUACUCUAUAAAUUUUGAUUUAGGUACAUUUCAGCAUAUGUCCUUAUUUUGUUCAGUGAACAGUCACAAACAGAUGGUGUUUCCAGCUUAUAGAGAUGAGGAAUUUCAUUAGGGCUGUGGGAUAAGAUACUAGGUACCUAAACUAAAUAUUUAUGUAAGAUUGUUUCCUCACAGAGCUUCAGAAAACAGUUUUCUUUUUAAUUAUAGAAGUAACUGAACCAUAGCAAAUAUAAGUUUUGCGCUCUAGCAAGAAUACUGUAAGUACUGUUAAUGUCUUAAUUUAUUCCUGUAGUGUGAUACAAGACUCCAAUUUAGGAAUUCUGCUACUCCUUUAUAAUAACUAUUGCUUUUCAAUAAAUUAAUCUAUUUGUUUCUGCUUUACAAUUGUGUUAAUGACUAUUUUCUUUCAUAUUAGCGAAACAGACAAGUGAAUGUCGGUUAUUUACUAUAUAUCAUUUCCCAGAUACCUUAUCUACAGCAGUUAAGUGCUUGUUGUGACUGGAAUGUAAUCUCAGUGGUUUUGGUUCUGUUACCUCCAUGGAGCUUUCACUUCUUAAUGGCUACAGAGACUAAUCUUGAGUCAAGAGCCAAACAUUUUUCCCUCUGCAAUAGUGCAAUGAUGUUUAGAUUUGUGGCUUUUAAUGUCAGAAGGAAAUUAUAGCUCAUGCAUGCCUUUCCAAGCAGAAUAGCUCAUGUAGAGGACAUUAGAAUAACUUAAAGGAA
Long non-coding RNA from Pyrgilauda ruficollis (rufous-necked snowfinch), 2663 nucleotides. RefSeq lists it as uncharacterized. Lineage: Eukaryota; Metazoa; Chordata; Aves; Passeriformes; Passeridae. The record is from RefSeq and is a predicted model, not a curated record. The transcript is spliced from 5 exons.